This 368-nucleotide ribosomal RNA is filed under the name uncultured organism. RNAcentral describes it as "bacterial SSU rRNA". It matches the Rfam family "Bacterial small subunit ribosomal RNA", at positions 526 to 896 of the family's 1533-position model. The record is from RNAcentral.
CGGAGGGUGCAAGCGUUAUCCGGAUUCACUGGGUUUAAAGGGUGCGUAGGUGGGUAAGUAAGUCAGUGGUGAAAUCUCCGGGCUUAACCCGGAAACUGCCAUUGAUACUAUUUGUCUUGAAUACUGUGGAGGUCAGCGGAAUAUGUCAUGUAGCGGUGAAAUGCUUAGAUAUGACAUAGAACACCAAUUGCGAAGGCAGCUGGCUACACAAAUAUUGACACUGAGGCACGAAAGCGUGGGGAUCAAACAGGAUUAGAUACCCUGGUAGUCCACGCCCUAAACUAUGGAUACUCGACAUUUGCGAUAAACUGCAAGUGUCUGAGCGAAAGCAUUAAGUAUCCCACCUGGGAAGUACGAUCGCAAGAUUG